This 254-nucleotide ribosomal RNA is filed under the name uncultured bacterium. RNAcentral's name for it is "partial 16S ribosomal RNA". It matches the Rfam family "Bacterial small subunit ribosomal RNA", at positions 524 to 776 of the family's 1533-position model. The record is from RNAcentral.
UACGUAGGGGGCGAGCGUUGUCCGGAUUUAUUGGGCGUAAAGAGCUCGUAGGCGGUUCGGCAAGUCAGCUGUGAAAUCUCCACGCUCAACGUGGAGGGGUCAGCUGAUACUGCUGUGACUCGAGUCCGGUAGGGGAGUGUGGAAUUCCCGGUGUAGCGGUGAAAUGCGCAGAUAUCGGGAGGAACACCAGUAGCGAAGGCGGCACUCUGGGCCGGUACUGACGCUGAGGAGCGAAAGCGUGGGGAGCAAACAGG